GGACCUUGAACUGCAGAAAAUUGACUUACAUGAGGAACAUACGCAACCUUGGACGCCAUGAUUAGCUGCAGCAUCUUUUGAUAUUGUAGGGUAAAUUCUUCUGAAUUAUAGUCGGUGCAUAUUUAAUUUUGAUGUAUAAGAUUCAACAGUAGUUUUGUUCAUCAGCAUUCAUAGCAAACUGUGCAUGUAAUGUAAUGGCUGUAAUAUCUGGAGGCCGUGACUUGAAAUGCUAGUUUGUAGCUUUAUAGGGUGAUUGAUGUUUGAUCUGAUGCUUGUAAGAUACAAAUUCUUGAACCAUAAGUUAUGUCAAAUUAAAGAUUUGGUUAUUUGUGAUCAUGAAUGUUUAGAUUAUUUCAUUAGGAUCUAAACAAUUGCGCGGAACACAAAUUGCAAAAAUCUUUACCCUGAAACUUAGUUCAGAGGCAUAGUGAGGAAGCCUGGAGAUUUUUCUGCAAGAAGAUUCUGAUUGUAGGAUACAAGACUAUGCCAACCUUCAGGCUCUCAUAUUUAAGUUGAGGAAAUUACAUAGUAUUUAGUUUGACAACGGUUUGCCAUCUGAUAUCAGGAAAACUGCUGUUGCAUUACUUCCCAGAUUUACUUUACGUACUAAAACUAAACUUAAAAAACGUGGCUGUCAGACUGGCGGAGCAGACAAUUCCUAUACUUUCUGAAGGCUGAGAAGAUUGAAAAAGGCACCACGCUUGUUCUUGAGCUGACCAUAGCUGCCCUGCUCAAUCACUUUUCCCUCAGAAACGAAGGCAACUGAGUCUAAGUUCUUGAUUGUGUUGAGCCUAUGUGCCACCACAACUGUUG
RNAcentral lists this long non-coding RNA (813 nucleotides) under Coffea arabica (coffee). RNAcentral describes it as "long non-coding RNA (CARA_LNC004020)". Lineage: Eukaryota; Viridiplantae; Streptophyta; Magnoliopsida; Gentianales; Rubiaceae. The record is from RNAcentral.